This is a long non-coding RNA of Daphnia carinata, 591 nucleotides long. RefSeq lists it as uncharacterized. The record is from RefSeq and is a predicted model, not a curated record. The transcript is spliced from 3 exons. Lineage: Eukaryota; Metazoa; Arthropoda; Branchiopoda; Diplostraca; Daphniidae.
AGGUACCUGUAACGCAUUGUAAUAUCGGGCCAAAGCAACGAAACUAGGUCAAUUGAAAAAGAAAACAAAAACAGAAAACCACAAAAACUGCAACAAAAUCCAUUUAUUGUAUCAGCAUCAGAUAGAAAAGCAAGCCCAAACUUCAAGCAUCUACCAAGUAUAGUGCACCUCCAGAACAACCAUUCACUUGGAGCAAAACCUGGUGCUCGUUCAAAGAGUUCACUUGGACAGACACGUUUGGGAAAUAUGUUUUAGUUCCGGGAAGACGCUGAUUAUCAGUGAAGAAGUUCUGGAGAGAGACUUCGACAAGAUUCGUGGAGAAAGGUUAAUCGGACGAAAAGCCGGGAGCAAGUUUGGUGAAGCUUUGAAAGAGAUUUGAUAAAUCUAGUGAAAUAUUCGUGAAUAUUUUGGCCAAACAAAUCACCACGAUAUAUAAUUGAAGUCCGGGAUUGCACAACCAACGCCCAUCCAUCCAUCCUUCUACUUGGUGUGGUAACAUGAAAAUUAAGCAGUAAGGUUAUUGAAUCUUUCUUUUCCUGUAAUAUUAACUCAUUUCGUAUAUAGUUUUAAAAGUUCCAUCGUUUUCAUAAA